RNAcentral lists this long non-coding RNA (5439 nucleotides) under Sus scrofa (pig). Its description in RNAcentral is "lncRNA (ENSSSCG00015053595.1)". The record is from RNAcentral. Lineage: Eukaryota; Metazoa; Chordata; Mammalia; Artiodactyla; Suidae.
AUCUUAGAUUUGAAUGCCUUAGGCUUCUAUUUGAAAUCCUUCUGGAUUUUUUAGUAAUCUGGCUUUAGAACCACAAACUAAAAAAUUAUAGCAAACGUAGUUUAAUCUCUUUACGUAUUUAAACCAACUAAAGUAUAUGACCACCACCUAGGCAUGCCCAUAUUGUUAUGAUAACAUAAGCUUCACCUGAGAAAAAGAAAACUUCCAAGGCAUGUUUGAUUUCUUUUUUUUUUUUUUUUCCCACAAAUGUGUAUCUCUUUCUUUUAUUUUCAGUAAGGUGGGAAAAUGACUUUGGAAAGGAAGAAAAAAAACAACUUUGAGUAUAUUAUCAAAGUGGAACUUAAGGGUUUAGCAAUGACAUCCCCGUUAGGCCUACAAAAGAGAAUGAGUAAAGUCAUGUUCCUUGUGACAUUAACCAUUAGUAAUCAUCAAAACCCUGUGAAAAAAUGAUUUCAAGAUCAAAGCAAAACAUAGCCACUUCAAAGACAGAUAGCUAGCUCAGUGCUGAAAAAGCAGGGUCUUCAGACUGUCACCCCCAUUAGAAGGUUUUAAGAACUCAGGUAAACAAGACCUGGAUCCGAAAUGGACCUAAGAACAUCUACAGCAAUCUACAAAGUUUGUAUUUCUCAUAAUUUUGCUGUUACUUUCAAGAUCAAUUUCUGCUCCAUUCCACAGAUGAAAUCUAUGUGUGCUUUGUGAGAUCAAUCAGCUAUCUUUAAUUCUCCAAAGAGAAUGAUAAGUUGACCUUAUAAUAUACCAUUUAAAUUUGCAUAUUUUGAGAGGAAUAGAUGGCAUUAUAAAUAAUUACAUCUCAAAAAUAGUGUUAAUUUAGUAGGGCCUAGACAAAUGAGGAAGUACCCUACUGUGGCAUUCUUCCAGAAAAUAGAUUUGUUUAAGAUGAAAUGAUGUUCCCUUGACCCUAGAUUAACAGUUAUUUGCUUUUUAGGGCUGAACCCACAGUCUGUGGAGGUUCCCAGGCUAGGGGUCGAAUCAGAGCUACAGCUGCCAGCCUACACCACAGCCACAGCAACUCAGGAUCUGAGCCACAUCUGCAACCUACACCAUGGUUCACAACGCCAGACCCUUAAACCCACUGUGCAAGGCCAGGGAUUGAACCCACAACCUCAUGGUUCCCAGUGGGAUUCUUUUCUGCUGUGCACGACGGGAAGUCCUAACAGUCAUUUCUUUUGAAAUCAUAACCAUUUCUAAGCUGAUUCACAUUAUGUGUCCCCUAUUAACCAAUCCUAAUAAUCACAAAUAUAAAUUACCUAUUGUCUUUAAUUUGUGAAAAUACUUCAUACCAACCUCAACUCAUGCUAUACUCAGAUAUGACAACAAAAAUGAUAUCCCAUUGUUAAUAGUAGUAUCAUAAAUAAUAAUUUUUGAGACUUGCUUAAGGAGAUAAUUUUAUUUGUCAAAUCUUUAAAUCUAACCAGCAUCAACUCCAAAAAACAAUGCUCAAUGAAGAACAAUAAACAACUAUAAAAAUGGCUCUAAUUGUAGAUACUUUUAUCAUAAAGUUGUUUCAACAACAUCAUAGAAAUGCUAAAAAAACAUAACAGCCUUCAAUCUUACCAUUUUAUACACAGCUAUUGUAUAUCUUUGUUUUCUCUUUCUGUCUUUAUAUUUCUUUAUGUUUGUGGGUGAGUAUCCAUUUUUCAAAGUAACAUUCUAACCAUUUUUUCUAGAGUAGCAUAUAUAUAAUUGCAGUCACAAUCUAUAUCAGAAUUUUACUCAGUUUGAAUUUUUUUCUAUGUUGUCAUACAAUCUAUGUAAUUGUAGUUUGAGAGGAUAAAUUAAGUUGGGACUGUGCCCUACUUUAAUUCAUCACACUCUAUCUUUGGAUAUUUAGAGUGACUCUUGUUCUUCACAGUUAACACUGAAAUAAAGAUUUAAAUGCAUAGAGUUUUUUUUAAUCUCUUGAAAUUUAAAAAUAUAUAUCCAAAUGCAUGACUGCUGGGCCAAAUAGCAAAAAUGAAAAAGAAGAGGAGUUCCCUGGUGGCUCACUGAGUUAAGAAUCCCAUGUUUUCACUGCUAUGGCUCAGGUAACUGCUUUGGCACAGGCUCAAUCCCUCCUGGCCUGAGAAUUUCUGUGUGCAACAGGCGCAGCCAAAAGAAAGAAAGAAAGAAAAGAAGAAAAAGAGUAUAAGGACUGAGGGUAUUCAAGAAAAUUUAAUUGUAUCCUAAGUGACUUAUUAGAAAUGAACCUUAUUUCUAUAUAUCUAACACAAUCAGUGUGAUUCAAAAAGAUGUGGUUUAUUUGUAAUGUUUGAAUAAUGAAAGAUCAUCCAAUCUAGUUCCUGAGAACUAGAGUUCAGCUCUCUUUUGUUAUUAACACAAGUACCUGACUUAGGGAUCCUAUAGCUUUAAGGUCUGGUUUGGUUCACUACGAAUGAAUGGAAACACAGAAACAUUAUAGGCAAAACGGAGAAGUUAGCAAAUGCAAAGUGACAGUAUUACUUAAGCAUAAAAUACGUAGUUCCACAGUUCAGCAUUAGGAAAGACAAACUAUUGAUUUCAACUAAAACAUAUCAUUUUAAAUUCAAUGAGACAGUAAACUAGCUCCCUCUCUUUACGCAAAGAUUUUUAUAUUUUAAUAUUUGUAUAUAAGAUGUUGCCAUGAUUUUAAUGCAAAUAGUGGUUUAUUAUUCUGUCCCUGAUCCAGAUCCAGAACUGUCCUGAUCCAGAAGUAACUGUAUUUAAACCUGUUUCUUAAAACCCAGUGUUGCCUCCUCAUAACCCCAGUGCUUUCUAUCUGUCUGUUUAUCAUCUUAUUACCUACAUAGUAUACCUAUAUUUUUUAUACCACAGAGGGCUAUAAAAAGGAAGAAGGAAAUCUUAUUCUUUGACAGUUCAUAACAGGAGGAUCCUGCCUAUAAAUAUUCCCACAAAAUGUUGAAAUAAUCCUUUAGAACAAAAACAAAGUAAAAAUCAGACUUACAUUUGUUUCUAACUAAAAUGUUUUGUGGCUACCUGAUGUUAUGCAUGUACUUUAUGUAUUUUUCACAAAACCACAUUUUGUAACUAGUAUUUCUAUUCACAACAAGAGGUAGAAAUACAUCAAGAAGAAUUUAUACACCAAAAGGAAUCGGAGAUGUGGAAAAUGGAAGAGAUAUAUUUGAGUUCAAGAAGAGGAAAUUUGAACAGCAAUGUUCAAGCUAUUCUCCUCAGAAGAUUGUUGAAAGCAUUUAAAAGUUAAAACAAAACAAAACAAAAACACACCCAAAAAAACAGUUCCUAGAUACUGAAAGAUGAAAGAAAGCAGUCAAUUGCAUUUAUAUAGGAACAUAAUCAAGAAAGCCAAGCAUACACUCAAGAUAUAUGGUCAUCGAGACCUAUCUCAAUGACUAUUUCCAGACUCUUCUUCAAUUCAAAUCCUGUAUCCUUUUCUCCAGUGAACUGGCCACGUUUCCCAGAAAAAUGACCUCAGUUCUAUACCUUACCUUUGAAUAUCUCCAUCCAAUCCCUCUUCAUUUAUGAAUACUUUCAUAAUUCAAGAAAGAAGCUCCCUCCAAUGUAAUUAUGUAUUCUAUUAUACACUUAAUCCCCACAAAACUCUCACCCUCCUCUCACCCACAAGCCAACAUUCUAUGAUUCACAUCUUUGUAGCAGUAGCACAAAGCUACACUUUCUGUGGAGUAGGGGCAAGACUCUUUGAGGCAAUCCUAUUAGCUAAUAUUACUAAUAAGGUUAAAUUACAUUAAAUAACUAACAGUUUAAGAAAAAUGUAAUAAGCUUGAUAAGAUAAAUGCUUUAACUAUAAAUUGAGGUCCUAAAAUUUCUGAGAGAAUGAGUUCCAUUCAAUUCACCAAAUGUAUUUUAAGUAACUAUUAUAUUCACGGUUUUUUGCUAGACCUAAUAUUACAAAGCCGUUUGCAUGUAUUCUAAAAUAUCCCACUUUAAUGUAAGACAUUUUAUGUUAAAUGUAAUGAUAUUUCUUGUAUUUAAAUUAUACGUUUUAAAUAUGGUAACUCCAGAUGAUGGAGAAAUUCCUUGACUAAGGGGAUUAAGUGCAUAUUUACCGAGGAGAUAUUACCAUGUUGAACCUAACACUAAUCAGUAAAUAAAUCUGUGAUGCAUGAAGGAAGGGAGGAAAAAAGAGUAAUUGGAGAGACAAAUACUAUCUAGGAUGCAGAUCCUUCUUCCACAAAAUUACCCCUAAGGCAAUCACAUUUUAGACACAAUAUUGUGUAUUUACUUGGAGGACUUGUGUAUUUAUCACACUAAAACAUUGUUAUCCAAAAAAAAUUUUCUAUUUAAAUAUCUCAUUUUAAAACAAUUACUGUGUUCUCAGUUAUACUUUUCAUAUGCUCGGACCAUCUGUUUCCUAUUGGAAUAGAAUUCCAAGUUUAGAACAGUAGUCAAAAGUGAUUGAAGUUUUAAAGUGUAUCUCCCAGGAAAACGUUUAAUAUGUAAAAGAUGUUUGUGUUAAAUAUUUAUACUCUAUUUAGUCAAGUCAAACACCCAAUCACAAUUAAUAACAAAACCUGUAAUUUUCAAUCAUAAUUUUUCUACCAUGUCAAUGUUUUCUUCCAUGUAGGUUUUAAUGGAAAAAUGAUGUUAUUGCAUUUAGUUUUAUAGAGAGGAAAGGGGAAAGAUGUUGACUUUUAAAGAGAAAAAUCCAAAGACAUUCCUUGUAUUUAUUGGUUUCUUUCUUGAUUAGAUAAUGUACGGUGUCUCCAGAUGUUUACUUUUAGAAUCAAUAACCCCAAACAUGGAGUCCCAGAUACAAAACACAAAGGGUCCUGUUUCCUCAAGUCUCCAGAAUACAGACAUAGGCACAGAGUUCUCAGGCCUUAUUUUUUUUUUCAUUUUUUAGAAGUUUUAUUGGGAUAUAGUUGAUUUACAAUGUUGUGAUAAUGUCUUUAUAACGAUGUGAUUCAGUUUUAUGCAUAUACACAUCCAUUCUCUUUCAGAUUUGUUUUCCACAUGGAUUAUCACAGAAUAUUGGAUAGAGAUCUCUGUGCUAUACAGCAGGCANGUUGGCCAGUCGUUCCAUAUACACCAGUGUGCCUAUGCCAAUCAGAAACUCCCAGUCCAUUCCACUCCCACCUGUCUCCUUUGGUAAACUUAAGGUUUUCAAAGUCUGUGAGUCUGUUUCUGUUAGGCAAUAAGUUCAUUUUUAUCCUUUUUUUUAGAUUCCACAAAAAGACAAACAUUAUGUGAUAUCACUUAUAUGCAACGUUACUUUUAUCCAUCACCAUUUCUCUAAAUACCCCUUCAGAAAUGGAGUCUUGUGCUGGGAGGCCCCUAAGUGGUUAACACCAAAGCCCUCUUCACAGCACAGGGGAUGAAUGUAAACCUUUUCUGGAUCAUUCCAACCUUCUUCCAGUGGUAAUAUGGUUUAAUUUGAGCCAAUGACCUUCAAAGAUAGAUCUCUUUGGUGAAUCCCUGAAUGAUUUAUUCACUCCUUUUAAACAAAACAAAGCCAAAAAAAAA